This 489-nucleotide ribosomal RNA is filed under the name uncultured bacterium. Its description in RNAcentral is "partial 16S ribosomal RNA". It matches the Rfam family "Bacterial small subunit ribosomal RNA", at positions 30 to 506 of the family's 1533-position model. The record is from RNAcentral.
AUUGAACGCUGGCGGCAGGCCUAACACAUGCAAGUCGAACGGUAACAGGAAGCAGCUUGCUGCUUCGCUGACGAGUGGCGGACGGGUGAGUAAUGUCUGGGAAACUGCCUGAUGGAGGGGGAUAACUACUGGAAACGGUAGCUAAUACCGCAUAACGUCGCAAGACCAAAGAGGGGGACCUUAGGGCCUCUUGCCAUCGGAUGUGCCCAGAUGGGAUUAGCUAGUAGGUGGGGUAACGGCUCACCUAGGCGACGAUCCCUAGCUGGUCUGAGAGGAUGACCAGCCACACUGGAACUGAGACACGGUCCAGACUCCUACGGGAGGCAGCAGUGGGGAAUAUUGCACAAUGGGCGCAAGCCUGAUGCAGCCAUGCCGCGUGUAUGAAGAAGGCCUUCGGGUUGUAAAGUACUUUCAGCGGGGAGGAAGGGAGUAAAGUUAAUACCUUUGCUCAUUGACGUUACCCGCAGAAGAAGCACCGGCUAACUCCGG